AAUGUCUGGGGUUAUUUUAUUUUAUUAUUUUUUAAAUCUACAGGUUGCAAUAAAAAUAAUAGACAAAACAAGGUUAGACCCAAGCAAUCUGGAGAAGAUUUAUAGAGAAGUUCAGAUAAUGAAGCUUUUGAAUCAUCCCCACAUUAUCAAGCUGUAUCAGGUUAUGGAGACAAAGGAUAUGCUUUACAUUGUUACUGAGUUUGCAAAGAAUGGAGAAAUGUUUGAUCAUCUGACCUCCAAUGGGCACUUAAGUGAAAGCGAAGCACGGAAGAAGUUCUGGCAGAUUCUUUCAGCGGUGGAAUACUGUCACAGCCACCACAUAGUGCACAGGGAUCUCAAAACAGAGAACCUUCUGCUAGAUGCUAACAUGAAUAUCAAGUUAGCAGACUUUGGCUUUGGAAACUUCUACAAGUCGGGAGAGCCCCUCUCCACUUGGUGUGGAAGCCCACCCUAUGCAGCUCCAGAAGUUUUUGAAGGCAAAGAAUAUGAAGGACCUCACCUUGAUAUAUGGAGCCUUGGAGUGGUGCUGUAUGUCCUUGUCUGUGGUUCUCUGCCUUUUGAUGGACCCAAUUUACCAACUCUGAGGCAACGAGUGCUGGAGGGGCGGUUCCGCAUCCCUUACUUCAUGUCCGAAGACUGUGAAACACUAAUCCGACGGAUGUUGGUUGUGGACCCAACCAAGCGCAUAACCAUUUCCCAAAUAAAGCAGCACAAGUGGAUGCAAGCUGACCCAUCUCUGCGACAGCAGCAGUCUUUGUCCUUCUCCAUGCAAAACUACAACUCCAACCUGGGUGACUACAAUGAACAGGUCCUUGGGAUCAUGCAAACACUUGGCAUCGACAGGCAGAGAACUGUAGAGUCUCUGCAAAACAGCAGCUACAACCAUUUUGCUGCAAUUUAUUACCUGCUCUUGGAGCGCCUCAAGGAGUAUCGAAGCAGCCAGCUAUCGAGUCGUCCAGCAACUGGCCGUCAGCAAAGGCCGAGGAGCUCCGAGAUCAUCAAUAUCGAGAUGCCUCAGGACAGUCUCGUUAGUGAAACCCUGCGAUCAUCUCUGCUUUACCAGCAACCUCAGAGCCUGAUUCAGCCAUCCUUGCAGGCAGAAAUGGACUGUGACAUGAGCAAUCCAUUACAGCCUGUGUUCUUUCCUGUGGAUCCCAACUUCAACGGGCUCUUCCGGAACCGCUCCAUCUCCCCGAACAGCCUGCUGGAGACCACCAUUAGUGAAGAAGUAAGGCAAGAGAAGGAACUGGAAGAUGAAAUUAAGGCGUAUGACCACCCCAUCCGCAUCCCUAGCAACACCAGCAGGAGGCACACACUGGCCGAAGUGACCACUCAUUUCUAUCAGCAUGCCCCUCCAUGUAUAGUCAUUUCCUCUUCUGCAAGCCCCACAGAGGGAACUAGUUCAGACAGCUGCCUUACUUCAUCUUCAAAUGACAGCUCAGUGGCCCUGAGCAGCUGUUUGGCAGGUCAAGUAAUGACGGGGAGCCCAGCCACAGCUAGGAUGACGUCGCCCUUCCUAGCUUCCCAGUCUGACGCUCCGGUGUUACAAGCCCAGGGCUGCAUGGGAGGUGCUUCUCUCCUGCCUGUCAGCUUCCAAGAAGGAAGGCGGGCAUCUGAUACCUCAUUAACUCAAGGCUUGAAGGCUUUUAGGCAGCAGCUGCGGAAGAACGCUCGAGCCAAGGGGUUUCUCGGCUUGAAUAAAAUCAAAGGCUUUGCUCGGCAGGUGUGUCAGUCCUCCUCAUCUCGGGCAGCAAGGAGUGCCAUGAGCCCUUUCCAACACACGCAGCCGAACACCUGCAUGUACAGCAGCAGUGGGAGCAGCAGAGAGGGAAGAAGCCUCCUGGAGGAGGUGCUACAGCAGCAGAGAAUGCUCCAGCUACAGCAUCACCAGCUCCUCCAGACAGCUUGUCCCCAGACUUCUCAGACAUCUGCAACAAAUGGCGUCCCCUCCUCUGAUAGCGUAGGUACCUGCAAAGCAUCCAAUUCUCUUCUGUUGUCAGAGCUACAAAGAGAGAACUCAUUUGAGCUGGCCUUUGCCGGCAACAGCCAACUGCUCCAACCUCAUUUCUUUGGUGUCAGCGUGUCACCGGUGUCCUCAGCAGCUCACCUUCUAGACACGCACCUGUACAUCAGCAGCAACGUCUCUCCAGUUGGCACCACCUUCUCUCAGCAACAGAGUUUCUCUGCACAGUCUCCAAGCUAUGACGCCGUCACUCUGCAGCACGGGGACUGUGAGAUGGAGGACCUGACUUCCAACCAGCUAGGGAAGUUUGUCCUAGUCAAAUGAGAGCCCCGGCUGCUAUAGCUCACGCUGCUCUUGUUGCGAAGAACUUUCACCGCUGUUCCAUGGCGUGUGUGGGUCCAUGGCUGGCUGGUGUCGUGUGGACGAGUGACUCUCAGAAGCAAUAAAUUUUGAAGUAUGUGAAGACGCUGUCUGGCUCAGAAAGCUAGCAACUUUAUAGAACGGAAACAAGCAAUAUCUUGCCACUGCUGCCGCGUGGUCUGGAAGCUUCAAAGUGAGCGAAAAUUGCUUGAGUUGAAGUUCUGCUAAUGAGUGGUGCCUUGCAGCAGAGGAAACACCAAAGUCUCAUGCUCAUUUGUGGUGGUUUAAAAAAAAAAACCCAACCCAAAAAACAGAUUGCGUGGAGGUGGCUGGAGCGGAGGGCAAGAAGAAGCCAGCUCAUCACAAAGCAGCAACUUCGCCUUCGGUUUUGUAAGGGGUAGCACACGUACUGAAAACGCAGAAUUUCCUCUUCGAUAUUUGUUUUGUUAAACGCCGUGGAUCAAAAGGCCACAGAUUCUUUUGUUUCCUGUCCUGAGCAAUGACAAGCACUUUACUUUCAUAGUAUUUUUUUUCCCAAUUGCUGUAGAACCUCUUUGGAAUUAUUGCUGGAGCAGAAAGAGGUCAUUUUAAAAGUUUGGGGUUUUUUGUAGAUAUCUCGACAGUGCUGUUCUGCAGACUGCAAUGCAAUAGGGUAUUUAAAGACACUACGUGAUUGGUUUAAUUGAGAUGUAUAGUUUAUUUUUUAUCAUGACUGAGCAAUCAUUUUAUUUCUUAUGUUAAAAUGAGAGGUGUACACCAAAACGAUUAGUCGAUGUGUUUUAUUUAAUAUUUAAAUAAAAAAUGUUUUAAAAUUGUU
Pygoscelis adeliae (Adelie penguin) is the source of this 3140-nucleotide RNA transcript. It is a transcript of the gene named salt-inducible kinase 1, with no coding region annotated. NCBI's taxonomy places the organism in Eukaryota, Metazoa, Chordata, Aves, Sphenisciformes, Spheniscidae. The record is from RefSeq and is a predicted model, not a curated record. The transcript has 13 exons.